Molecule: small nucleolar RNA, 135 nt
Organism: Phocoena sinus (vaquita)
Lineage: Eukaryota; Metazoa; Chordata; Mammalia; Artiodactyla; Phocoenidae
Product: small nucleolar RNA SNORA43
Source: Ensembl
GAUGCUGGACCUGCCGGCGCCAAGGAUGCAGCUGCCCUGCUUGCACCUGUGACACUGGGGCAGAGAGGGAACGGCUACUUCUACACUCAGUGCUCAGAACAGUGAGCACUAAGAAUGGUUUGCAGCUGGACAUUG